This 738-nucleotide ribosomal RNA is filed under the name uncultured Staphylococcus sp. RNAcentral's name for it is "bacterial SSU rRNA". It matches the Rfam family "Bacterial small subunit ribosomal RNA", at positions 61 to 781 of the family's 1533-position model. The record is from RNAcentral. Lineage: Bacteria; Bacillati; Bacillota; Bacilli; Caryophanales; Staphylococcaceae.
GUCGAGCGAACAGACGAGGAGCUUGCUCCUCUGACGUUAGCGGCGGACGGGUGAGUAACACGUGGGUAACCUACCUAUAAGACUGGGAUAACUUCGGGAAACCGGAGCUAAUACUGGAUAAUAUAUUGAACCGCAUGGUUCAAUAGUGAAAGACGGUUUUGCUGUCACUUAUAGAUGGAUCCGCGUCGCAUUAGCUAGUUGGUAAGGUAACGGCUUACCAAGGCAACGAUGCGUAGCCGACCUGAGAGGGUGAUCGGCCACACUGGAACUGAGACACGGUCCAGACUCCUACGGGAGGCAGCAGUAGGGAAUCUUCCGCAAUGGGCGAAAGCCUGACGGAGCAACGCCGCGUGAGUGAUGAAGGUCUUCGGAUCGUAAAACUCUGUUAUUAGGGAAGAACAAAUGUGUAAGUAACUAUGCACGUCUUGACGGUACCUAAUCAGAAAGCCACGGCUAACUACGUGCCAGCAGCCGCGGUAAUACGUAGGUGGCAAGCGUUAUCCGGAAUUAUUGGGCGUAAAGCGCGCGUAGGCGGUUUUUUAAGUCAGAUGUGAAAGCCCACGGCUCAACCGUGGAGGGUCAUUGGAAACUGAAAAACUUGAGUGCAGAAGAGGAAAGUGGAAUUCCAUGUGUAGCGGUGAAAUGCGCAGAGAUAUGGAGGAACACCAGUGGCGAAGGCGACUUUCUGGUCUGUAACUGACGCUGAUGUGCGAAAGCGUGGGGAUCAAACAGGAUUAG